Molecule: long non-coding RNA, 1141 nt
Filed under: Panax ginseng (ginseng)
Lineage: Eukaryota; Viridiplantae; Streptophyta; Magnoliopsida; Apiales; Araliaceae
Description: long non-coding RNA (PGIN_LNC004588)
Source: RNAcentral
AUAUAGAGAAAUAGAGACAAAUAGUAUAAGCAUAUAUAUUAUAUAUAUAUAUAAUUUGUAGAAUAUGGAAGAGGUUGGUUCGUCGUCACCGGUAAGUCCAGGAAGUACCGGCGGUCACCGGAAAAGGAAUCAAAAAACGUCAGGAGGAAUGUCGGGUUUGAAGAAAAGUGUUGUCAGUUUCGUCGUCUCUUUACAAGAAGGAUUCCGAUAUGUCAAAGCCUCCCUCUUCGCCCUGGUCUCUCUCUUUCUCUCUACCCCUGAUCUCCCUCUCUCUCUCUCUCACACACACACUAUUAUAUAUAUACACACACAUCUCUUUUUCUAAAUAUUUACUAUAAUUAAUAUUGAGUUUUUAAAGUCAUUUAAGAUAUUUGUAAAUUUAAAAAUGAUAGGAACAAAUUUAAUUUUAGAUAAUAAUAUAAUUAUGAAAAUUAUACAAAUAUUAAUAAUUAAUAUUUGGCAAAAAGGAAAGUGAGUGACACUCCGCAUAUUAUUGUGCGAACUAUAUAUAUAUAUAUAUUCUGAAGUUUAGAUUUAAUUAUUUUAAUUUUAAAAUAUACAAUGAAUUUUGAAAACAAAAUUAUAAACUACUCAAGAAUUAUUUUAAUAAAAAAGUUAAACAAAUAGGAUGAAGAUAGUCUUAAUUAAAAAAUCAAAAAUUAAUCUUAUAUUUUGUAUAUUUUCUAUUUUCAAAUUAAGGGAUGGAAUACUGGAUAUAUAUUUGCCCAAGUCAAUCAGUUGUAAUUAAUUAAUGAUUGGGAUUGUAAUUAAUUAAUUAAUUAAUUAAAUAUGGGAAUAUAUGGAAUUAUUAGGCGAAGAAGAUGACAGCAAGGAGUGAGAAGGAAGCAUCAGAUGCUGAUUUACAGGAAGCCAAGAUGCAGGUUGAAGCUGCCGAUGCUGCUGAGGAUGCAAAGAACAAUCUACUCAACCCCAAUUAAUUAAUUAUUACUAUCUUUCUAUUCUUAAUUAAUUUCUACUCUUAUUUCAUUUUGUUUAAGUAAUGUGUUUUCCUUAUAUUCUCUUGUACUGUAUUAGUUCUAUUUUUGUUUUUUAUUAUUAACUGUUUUUUAAAAAAUUGAUUCUUAGUUCUCAGCUAUAAAUUUAUAUUGAAUCAUAAUUGCUAAUACACGAAAUUUGUAAG